RNAcentral lists this long non-coding RNA (423 nucleotides) under Eucalyptus grandis. RNAcentral describes it as "long non-coding RNA (EGRA_LNC005851)". Lineage: Eukaryota; Viridiplantae; Streptophyta; Magnoliopsida; Myrtales; Myrtaceae. The record is from RNAcentral.
AGACAAGCCACGAUCGAGAUCUGCUAUCGAGGUUCAUGUCGUCGAGCGCCGAUCUGGAGUUCCAAGACCUAGAGGAGAAGAGGAAGUGUUGGAGGUUAUAGGUUUGAGAGAGAAAAAGAGGUUACUUGAAGUAUUACACCAAGAGACGUCAAGUUUGGAACGCUCAACAGUGUUACCUCCAGCGUAGGGAAACCCUAGAGUUUUUAUAUGCAAGUUAUUGGGUUUCGGCUCAUAUGGACCAAAAUAACCAUGCUUUGUUACCUCCAGCGUAGGGAAACCCUAGAGUUUUUAUAUGCAAGUUAUUGGGUUUCGGCUCAUAUGGACCAAAAUAACCAUGCUUUGACCUAUUGGGCUUAUAUGUGAACAUAUUAUUUUGUACUAUAUUAACAAUAUAUCAAACAAUAUCCUUCUAUGUUCACCAUA